AAUGAACGUUGGCGGCGUGGAUUAGGCAUGCAAGUCGAGCGAGAAUUUGCGAUUGGAAGCUUCGGCCGAAGAAAGUGAAGGAAAGCGGCAAACGGCGUAGUAAGGCGUAGGUACGUACCCUCGGGUCGGGAAUAGCCAUGGGAAACUGUGGGUAAUGCCCGAUAAUCUCUGCGGAGCAAAGGUGUGAUUCCGCCGGAGGAGCGGCUUACGUGAUAUUAGCUAGUUGGUGGGGUAAUGGCCUACCAAGGCAACGAUGUCUAGGGGGUGUGAGAGCAUGGCCCCCACGACCGGAACUGAGACACUGUCCGGACACCUACGGGUGGCUGCAGUCGAGAAUCUUCCGCAAUGGACGAAAGUCUGACGGAGCGACGCCGCGUGCGGGAUGAAGGCCCUUGGGUUGUAAACCGCUGUCAGAGGGGAUGAAAUCUCCGGGGGUACUCCCCCGGAGUUGACAGAGCCUCAAAGGAAGCACGGGCUAAGUACGUG
RNAcentral lists this ribosomal RNA (486 nucleotides) under uncultured bacterium. Its description in RNAcentral is "bacterial SSU rRNA". It matches the Rfam family "Bacterial small subunit ribosomal RNA", at positions 29 to 507 of the family's 1533-position model. The record is from RNAcentral.